GGAUUAUACAUGCUAGCCUCCACACCCCCGUGACUUAUAGUAUCAGGCACGCACUAUUGCCGCCCCUAACACUAAGCUCUUCAUGCCACACCCCCACGGUUACACAGCAGUAAUAAACCUUGAACAAUGGACACAAGUCCGAUUCAGCCACAUCUCAACUUAACGCUGGUAAAUUUCGUGCCAGCUACCGCGGUUAUACGAACCAAGCUAAAAGUAAUAUUGACGGCGUAAAGUACGGCUAGAAUUAAGCCUCCCCCAUUAAAGCCCAAUCACUACUUAAUGGUCAAAUCUUUAAGCUCACAGAACACAACACUUUAAUCUCACCGCUAUUUAACCCGUGACACCAAGGACACAAACUGGGAUUAGAUACCCCACUAUGCCACGACGUAAACCACGACCCCCCCCCUCCGCCUGAAAAUUACGGGCACAUUUUAGCCUAAAACUCAAAAGACUUGACGGUGCCCCAACCUACCUAGAGGAGCCUGUUCCAUAAUCGAUAACCCCCGAUCAACCCGACCACCCCUUGUAUUUCCAGCCUAUAUACCGCCGUCAUCUUUAGCUUACCUUUUGAAAGCUUUACCGUAAGCACAAUUGUUUAAAACUAAAAAGUCAGGUCAAGGUGUAGCUAAUGCGGUGGCGCCAAUGGGCUACAUUAUCUGCAACAGAUAACUUUACGGCUUUGUCUUUGAAACAAGACACUAAAGGCGGAUUUAGCAGUAAAUUAAGCAAUUGUACUUACUUUAACACCUGCUCUGGGACAUGUACACACCGCCCGUCACCCUCCUCAGAAUAUACAACACACUCUAUAAAAACCCCAAUACAAAAAGAUGAGGCAAGUCGUAACACGGUAAG
RNAcentral lists this ribosomal RNA (852 nucleotides) under Leposoma scincoides. RNAcentral's name for it is "partial 12S ribosomal RNA". Lineage: Eukaryota; Metazoa; Chordata; Lepidosauria; Squamata; Gymnophthalmidae. The record is from RNAcentral.